This 506-nucleotide ribosomal RNA is filed under the name uncultured soil bacterium. RNAcentral's name for it is "bacterial SSU rRNA". It matches the Rfam family "Bacterial small subunit ribosomal RNA", at positions 26 to 521 of the family's 1533-position model. The record is from RNAcentral.
AGAUUGAACGCUGGCGGCAGGCCUAACACAUGCAAGUCGAGCGGCAGCACGGGUACUUGUACCUGGUGGCGAGCGGCGGACGGGUGAGUAAUGCCUAGGAAUCUGCCUGGUAGUGGGGGAUAACGCUCGGAAACGGACGCUAAUACCGCAUACGUCCUACGGGAGAAAGCGGGGGACCUUCGGGCCUCGCGCCAUUAGAUGAGCCUAGGUCGGAUUAGCUAGUUGGUGAGGUAAUGGCUCACCAAGGCGACGAUCCGUAACUGGUCUGAGAGGAUGAUCAGUCACACUGGAACUGAGACACGGUCCAGACUCCUAACGGGAGGCAGCAGUGGGGAAUAUUGGACAGUGGGCGAAAGCCUGAUCCAGCCAAUGCCGCGUGUGUGAAGAAGGUCUUCGGAUUGUAAAGCACUUUAAGUUGGAAGGAAGGUUGUAACCUAAUACGUUGCAACUUUGACGUUACCGACAAGAAUAAGCACCGGCUAAACUUCGUAGCCAGCAGCCGUACG